GCCAGAUUAGCUCAGCUGGUAGAGCAGCUGAUUCGUAAUCAGCAGGUCGCGGGUUCAAGUCCCGUGUCUGGCUCCA
Molecule: transfer RNA, 76 nt
Filed under: Saprospiraceae bacterium
Lineage: Bacteria; Pseudomonadati; Bacteroidota; Saprospiria; Saprospirales; Saprospiraceae
Description: tRNA-Thr
Rfam family: tRNA
About the family: Transfer RNA (tRNA) molecules are approximately 80 nucleotides in length.
Source: RNAcentral